This 724-nucleotide ribosomal RNA is filed under the name uncultured bacterium. RNAcentral describes it as "bacterial SSU rRNA". It matches the Rfam family "Bacterial small subunit ribosomal RNA", at positions 8 to 728 of the family's 1533-position model. The record is from RNAcentral.
AGAGUUUGAUCAUGGCUCAGAUUGAACGUUGGCGGCAUGCUUUACACAUGCAAGUCGAACGGCAGCGCGGGGCAACCUGGCGGCGAGUGGCGAACGGGUGAGUAAUAUAUCGGAACGUACCCAAGAGUGGGGGAUAACGUAGCGAAAGUUACGCUAAUACCGCAUACGAUCCAAGGAUGAAAGUGGGGGAUCUUCGGACCUCAUGCUCCUGGAGCGGCCGAUAUCUGAUUAGCUAGUUGGUGAGGUAAAGGCUCACCAAGGCGACGAUCAGUAGCUGGUCUGAGAGGACGACCAGCCACACUGGAACUGAGACACGGUCCAGACUCCUACGGGAGGCAGCAGUGGGGAAUUUUGGACAAUGGGCGCAAGCCUGAUCCAGCAAUGGCCGCGUGAGUGAAGAAGGCCUUCGGGUUGUAAAGCUCUUUUGUCAGGGAAGAAACGGUGGAGGCUAAUAUCCUCUACUAAUGACGGUACCUGAAGAAUAAGCACCGGCUAACUACGUGCCAGCAGCCGCGGUAAUACGUAGGGUGCAAGCGUUAAUCGGAAUUACUGGGCGUAAAGCGUGCGCAGGCGGUUUUGUAAGUCUGACGUGAAAUCCCCGGGCUCAACCUGGGAAUUGCGUUGGAGACUGCAAGGCUAGAAUCUGGCAGAGGGGGGUAGAAUUCCACGUGUAGCAGUGAAAUGCGUAGAGAUGUGGAGGAACACCGAUGGCGAAGGCAGCCCC